Molecule: ribosomal RNA, 342 nt
Filed under: Triticum aestivum (bread wheat)
Lineage: Eukaryota; Viridiplantae; Streptophyta; Magnoliopsida; Poales; Poaceae
Description: partial small subunit ribosomal RNA
Source: RNAcentral
AUGCCGGGCCAAAACAUGAUUGGUAGAAGGGGUGUAUUGCUACCUAUACAUCGUGUAUGCCCGCGGCUGGAACCGCGUCAUCGCAUACAUCAUGGCUGCGGUGCAGCUGGUGUUUGUGGUGGCGUUGCUUGUGAUUCAGUUCACUGUUUUCCGCGACGGCCACAACCCAGAGGUCAGGGAGGUGUUCUUUGGAUGGAUUGUGGCCGGCACUGCGAUUCUGAUGUACCUUUCCCCAUUCAAGGAGACGGCCGUGGCAGCCUGGACACGCAACGUGGAGAGCCUCACCCCACUGCUCUCUCUGGCGUACCAGUAGUGGAUGGAACGACCUCAUUGAGGCAUUAG